Molecule: ribosomal RNA, 1510 nt
Filed under: human gut metagenome
Description: bacterial LSU rRNA
Rfam family: Bacterial large subunit ribosomal RNA
Source: RNAcentral
AAUCAAACUUGGGAGUCAGACUACGACUUAUAAGGGCCGUGGUCAAGAGGGAAACAGCCCAGAUCAUCAGCUAAGGUCCCAAAUGCCGUGCUAAGUGGCGAAGGAUGUGGCGUUUCAUAAACAACCAGGAUGUUGGCUUAGAAGCAGCCAUCAUUUAAAGAGUGCGUAAUAGCCCACUGGUCGAGAGACGCUGCGCCGAAGAUGUCCGGGGCUCAAGCACGGAACCGAAGCUAUGGCAGACGCAAGCCGUCUGGGUAGGGGAGCGUUCUUAUUGGGGAGAAGCGAUACCGGAAGGAGUCGUGGACUGAUAAGAAGUGAGAAUGCUGGUAUGAGUAUCGAAAAGAAAGGUGAGAAUCCUUUCCACCGAAAGCCCGAGGGUUCCUGAGCAACGAUCGUCGUCUCAGGGUAAGUCGGGACCUAAGCCGAGGCGGAAAAGCGUAGGCGAUGGACAACAGGUUGAAAUUCCUGUACCGGUGUGAAUCGUUUGAUCGAUGGAGUGACACAGUAAGGUAGGUCAGCACGCGAUUGGAAGUGCGUGUUUAAGCAGGUAGGUUGAGCUAUAGGCAAAUCCGUAGCUCUAAAAGCUGAGAUGUGAUGACGAGUGACUAGCAAUAGUCGCGAAGUGAUUGAUCCUACACUGUCGAGAAAAGCUUCUAGGUAGAGACACAUCGCCCGUACCAAAACCGACACAGGUAGGCGGGGAGAGAAUCCUAAGGUGCGCGGGAAAACCCUCGUUAAGGAACUCGGCAAAUUGCAUCCGUAACUUCGGAAGAAGGAUGGCCCUUGGUAGGCGAAGAGUCAAGCACUUGGAACCGAGAAGGGUGGCAGAAAAGAGGCCCAAGCAACUGUUUACCAAAAACACAGGUGCCUGCGAAAGCGAAAGCUGAAGUAUAGGUGCUGACGCCUGCCCGGUGCUGGAAGGUUAAGGAGAGAGGUCAGCUAAGGCGAAGCUUUGAACUGAAGCCCCAGUGAACGGCGGCCGUAACUAUAACGGUCCUAAGGUAGCGAAAUUCCUUGUCAGGUAAGUUCUGACCCGCAUGAAAGGCGUAAUGAUUUGGGCACUGUCUCAACAGCCCGCCCGGCGAAAUUGUAGUACCGGUGAAGAUGCCGGUUACCCGCGACAAGACGGAAAGACCCCAUGGAGCUUUACUGUAGCCUGAUAUUGGGUUUCGGUGUUGCAUGCACAGGAUAGAUGGGACGCUGGGAAAGAAGCGCUUUGGCGUUUCUGGAGCGGACGUUGGGAUACCAUCCUUGCGACAUUGGAAUUCUAACCUGCGCCUCUGAAUCGAGGCGGGGGACAUUGUCAGGUGGGCAGUUUGACUGGGGCGGUCGCCUCCUAAAAAGUAGCGGAGGCGUUCAAAGGUUCGUUCGAUCUGGACGGAAACCAGAUGAUUGAGUGCAAACGCAUAAACGAGCCUGACUGCGAGACUGACGGGUCGAGCAGAGACGAAAGUCGGAGUUAGUGAUCCGGUGGUAUGUGAGUGGAAAUGCCAUCGCUCAACGGAUAAAA